GAGAGCGGGAGCUGCGGGGGCAGGACCCGAACCCGCCGCAGCCCCGGCUCGCGUUCUGCUCCACACCGAGACUCCCGAGAAUUCCCGGGAAGGCGGCGAGGGCAGGAGAGCAUCCCCAGCUCCCCCUGCCCUCCCCGCAGUGCCCGGAGGAGCAGAACAUCCCCGUUCCCCCUUGCCGGGGAGCCCAGAGCGAUGCUUUAUCGCGCCGCUGCGAGAGCCAGACGGAAAGGUUGCGGCAAAGAUUUCAACCCUGAAUACCCUUUCCCUAGCUUGGAAGGCACAGUGUGAGCUCAGAGAGGGAAGCUCAGCUCCAGGGAUUGCUCUUUGCCCGCUCUUGCACUUGUGCUUUAGCCUGGAGGAACUUUUCUCAGCCUUCAGAUAACGUGAACCACAAAGCCUUGCUGGGAUCCCACUGCAAACUCCUCCGCACACCUCUGGUUACAAAGAAAAGAGUGUUCUGCAUGGGGUAUGGCAGGGGUUAGUGGGCAAUUCACCUCAAAGCUGUGCCAAGGAAACGGAAUGUUUGGGGUUGGAGAACUGUUUGAGUGUCCAGGCAAUUCUUCCAGAGCCUGCUCAUGACAGAAGGGGCAGCCCAGUCAGGGAUAGCCUCCAAUGGGGAGAAGGAGAGCAGCUGGAUUCCCACCCUGAGCUCAUGCACAGCCUGGCACAGGGCUGGGACCAGGCUGUUGGU
Molecule: long non-coding RNA, 691 nt
Filed under: Zonotrichia albicollis (white-throated sparrow)
Lineage: Eukaryota; Metazoa; Chordata; Aves; Passeriformes; Passerellidae
Description: lncRNA (ENSZALG00000018205.1)
Source: RNAcentral